AUACGUAGGGUGCGAGCGUUGUCCGGAAUUACUGGGCGUAAAGAGCUCGUAGGUGGUUUGUCGCGUCGUCUGUGAAAUUCCGGGGCUUAACUCCGGGCGUGCAGGCGAUACGGGCAUAACUUGAGUACUGUAGGGGAGACUGGAAUUCCUGGUCUAGCGGUGAACUGCGCAGAUAUCAGGAGGAACCGCGGCGGCUAAGGGGGGUUUCUGGCCUGAAACUGACGUUGCCGGUCGAAGGCAUGGUUAGAAAGCCGGAGAAGAUACCCUGGUAGUCCGUGCUGUAACCGGUGGGCUCUAGGUCAAGGGGAAAUCCACGCCUUCGGUGCCUUAGCUAACGCAUAAAGCGCCCCGCCUGGGGAGUACGGCCGCAAGGCUAAAACUGAAAUGAAUUGAGGGGU
Molecule: ribosomal RNA, 398 nt
Filed under: uncultured bacterium
Lineage: Bacteria
Description: partial 16S ribosomal RNA
Rfam family: Bacterial small subunit ribosomal RNA
Source: RNAcentral